RNAcentral lists this ribosomal RNA (637 nucleotides) under Trichoderma longibrachiatum. RNAcentral describes it as "eukaryotic LSU rRNA". The stretch from base 252 to 405 matches the Rfam family "5.8S ribosomal RNA". Lineage: Eukaryota; Fungi; Ascomycota; Sordariomycetes; Hypocreales; Hypocreaceae. The record is from RNAcentral.
GCGUCUGGCGACGCGGAGGGAUCAUUACCGAGUUUACAACUCCCAAACCCCAAUGUGAACGUUACCAAUCUGUUGCCUCGGCGGGAUUCUCUUGCCCCGGGCGCGUCGCAGCCCCGGAUCCCAUGGCGCCCGCCGGAGGACCAACUCCAAACUCUUUUUUUCUCUCCGUCGCGGCUCCCGUCGCGGCUCUGUUUUAUUUUUGCUCUGAGCCUUUCUCGGCGACCCUAGCGGGCGUCUCGAAAAUGAAUCAAAACUUUCAACAACGGAUCUCUUGGUUCUGGCAUCGAUGAAGAACGCAGCGAAAUGCGAUAAGUAAUGUGAAUUGCAGAAUUCAGUGAAUCAUCGAAUCUUUGAACGCACAUUGCGCCCGCCAGUAUUCUGGCGGGCAUGCCUGUCCGAGCGUCAUUUCAACCCUCGAACCCCUCCGGGGGGUCGGCGUUGGGGAUCGGCCCCUCACCGGGCCGCCCCCGAAAUACAGUGGCGGUCUCGCCGCAGCCUCUCCUGCGCAGUAGUUUGCACACUCGCACCGGGAGCGCGGCGCGGCCACAGCCGUAAAACACCCCAAACUUCUGAAAUGUUGACCUCGGAUCAGGUAGGAAUACCCGCUGAACUUAAGCAUAUCAAUAAGCCGGAGGAA